This 491-nucleotide ribosomal RNA is filed under the name uncultured bacterium. RNAcentral's name for it is "bacterial SSU rRNA". It matches the Rfam family "Bacterial small subunit ribosomal RNA", at positions 30 to 518 of the family's 1533-position model. The record is from RNAcentral.
UGAACGCUAGCGACAGGCCUAACACAUGCAAGUCAGGGGCAGCACAAGAGCAAUCUGAGGUGGCGACCGGCGCACGGGUGAGUAACACGUAUGCAACCUGCCUGUAAGCGGGGAAUAACCCGUUGAAAGACGGACUAAUACCGCAUAAUACUAAAUUACUGCAUGGUAAUUAUUUAAACAUUUAUGGCUUACAGAUGGGCAUGCGCAUGAUUAGCUAGUUGGAGAGGUAACGGCUCCCCAAGGCAACGAUCAUUAGGGGUUCUGAGAGGAAGGUCCCCCACACUGGUACUGAGACACGGACCAGACUCCUACGGGAGGCAGCAGUGAGGAAUAUUGGUCAAUGGACGAGAGUCUGAACCAGCCAAGUCGCGUGCAGGAAGAAUGUCCCUAUGGAUUGUAAACUGCUUUUGCAGGGGAAUAAAGUGCAUCACGUGUGAUGUUUUGUAUGUACUCUGCGAAUAAGGAUCGGCUAACUCCGUGCCAGCCGCCGC